This 162-nucleotide small nuclear RNA is filed under the name Phaseolus vulgaris (common bean). RNAcentral describes it as "snRNA U1". It matches the Rfam family "U1 spliceosomal RNA". From Rfam's summary of the family: U1 is a small nuclear RNA (snRNA) component of the spliceosome (involved in pre-mRNA splicing). Its 5' end forms complementary base pairs with the 5' splice junction, thus defining the 5' donor site of an intron. Lineage: Eukaryota; Viridiplantae; Streptophyta; Magnoliopsida; Fabales; Fabaceae. The record is from Rfam by way of RNAcentral.
UCACUUACCUGGGUGGGGUCAUUAGAUGAUCAUGAAUGUCUAAGGCCUAGGGUAUUGACCUCCAUUGCACAUAGGAGGGGCACUACUCUAAGGUCUGCCCUAAGGGGCAGAACCUACAUCAUAAUUUGUGGUUGUAGGGGCUUGCGUUCGCGCAGCCCUUUC